Molecule: ribosomal RNA, 730 nt
Filed under: uncultured beta proteobacterium
Lineage: Bacteria; Pseudomonadati; Pseudomonadota; Betaproteobacteria
Description: bacterial SSU rRNA
Rfam family: Bacterial small subunit ribosomal RNA
Source: RNAcentral
GAGGAACACCGAUGGCGAAGGCAGCCCCCUGGGCCGAUACUGACGCUCAUGCACGAAAGCGUGGGUAGCAAACAGGAUUAGAUACCCUGGUAGUCCACGCCCUAAACGAUGUCAACUAGGUGUUGGGAGGGUUAAACCUNUAGUGGCCGUAGCUAACGCGUGAAGUUGACCGCCUGGGGAGUACGGCCGCAAGGCUAAAACUCAAAGGAAUUGACGGGGACCCGCACAAGCGGUGGAUGAUGUGGAUUAAUUCGAUGCAACGCGAAAAACCUUACCUACCCUUGACAUGUCAGGAAUCCUGGAGAGAUUCGGGAGUGCCCGCAGGGGAGCCUGAACACAGGUGCUGCAUGGCUGUCGUCAGCUCGUGUCGUGAGAUGUUGGGUUAAGUCCCGCAACGAGCGCAACCCUCGUCAUUAAUUGCCAUCAUUGAGUUGGGCACUUUAAUGAGACUGCCGGUGACAAACCGGAGGAAGGUGGGGAUGACGUCAAGUCCUCAUGGCCCUUAUGGGUAGGGCUUCACACGUCAUACAAUGGUCGGUUCAGAGGGUUGCCAACCCGCGAGGGGGAGCCAAUCUCAGAAAGCCGAUCGUAGUCCGGAUCGCAGUCUGCAACUCGACUGCGUGAAGCCGGAAUCGCUAGUAAUCGCGGAUCAGCAUGUCGCGGUGAAUACGUUCCCGGGUCUUGUACACACCGCCCGUCACACCAUGGGAGCGGGUACUGCCAGAAGUAG